GAUAUACUUCAUCCUUCCUAAAAUUUUUGUCUUAGGUUUGUUUAAAAAUAAAUGUAUCUAAAUACUAAAACAUAGCUAGAUACAUUCUAUCUAGACAAAUAUAAGACAAGAAUUUUAGAACGGAGGAAGUAGUUG
This is a non-coding RNA of Hordeum vulgare subsp. vulgare (domesticated barley), 135 nucleotides long. The record is from Rfam. NCBI's taxonomy places the organism in Eukaryota, Viridiplantae, Streptophyta, Magnoliopsida, Poales, Poaceae.